This 461-nucleotide ribosomal RNA is filed under the name uncultured bacterium. Its description in RNAcentral is "bacterial SSU rRNA". It matches the Rfam family "Bacterial small subunit ribosomal RNA", at positions 1 to 507 of the family's 1533-position model. The record is from RNAcentral.
AGACGUCUACGAGUUUGAUCCUGGCUACAGAACGAACGCUGGCGGCAGGCCUAACACAUGCAAGUCGAGCGCCCCGCAAGGGGAGCGGCGGACGGGUGAGUAACGCGUGGGAACGUACCCUUUGCUACGGAAUAGCCUCGGGAAACUGGGAGUAAUACCGUAUGUGCCCUUCGGGGGAAAGAUUUAUCGGCAAAGGAUCGGCCCGCGUUGGAUUAGGUAGUUGGUGGGGUAAUGGCCUACCAAGCCGACGAUCCAUAGCUGGUUUGAGAGGAUGAUCAGCCACACUGGGACUGAGACACGGCCCAGACUCCUACGGGAGGCAGCAGUGGGGAAUCCUAGACAAUGGGCGCAAGCCUGAUCUAGCCAUGCCGCGUGAGCGAUGAAGGCCUUAGGGUUGUAAAGCUCUUUCAGUGGGGAAGAUAAUGACUGUACCCACAGAAGAAGCCCCGGCUAACUCCGUG